This 26-nucleotide small RNA is filed under the name Arabidopsis thaliana (thale cress). Its description in RNAcentral is "ATSL004170". The record is from RNAcentral. Lineage: Eukaryota; Viridiplantae; Streptophyta; Magnoliopsida; Brassicales; Brassicaceae.
GAUAAAAAGAAGAAAAGAGAAAAAAA